UACGAAGGGGGCUAGCGUUGUUCGGAAUUACUGGGCGUAAAGCGCACGUAGGCGGGUAUUUAAGUCAGGGGUGAAAUCCCAGAGCUCAACUCUGGAACUGCCUUUGAUACUGGGUACCUAGAGUAUGGAAGAGGUGAGUGGAAUUCCGAGUGUAGAGGUGAAAUUCGUAGAUAUUCGGAGGAACACCAGUGGCGAAGGCGGCUCACUGGUCCAUUACUGACGCUGAGGUGCGAAAGCGUGGGGAGCGAACAGG
RNAcentral lists this ribosomal RNA (253 nucleotides) under uncultured bacterium. RNAcentral's name for it is "partial 16S ribosomal RNA". It matches the Rfam family "Bacterial small subunit ribosomal RNA", at positions 524 to 776 of the family's 1533-position model. The record is from RNAcentral.